GAUGAACGCUGGCGGCGUGCCUAAUACAUGCCAGUCGAGCGAACAGACGAGGAGCUUGCUCCUCUGACGUUAGCGGCGGACGGGUGAGUAACACGUGGAUAACCUACCUAUAAGACUGGGAUAACUUCGGGAAACCGGAGCUAAUACCGGAUAACAUGUUGAACCGCAUGGUUCAACAGUGAAAGACGGUUUUGCUGUCACUUAUAGAUGGAUCCGCGUCGCAUUAGCUAGUUGGUAAGGUAACGGCUUACCAAGGCAACGAUGCGUAGCCGACCUGAGAGGGUGAUCGGCCACACUGGAACUGAGACACGGUCCAGACUCCUACGGGAGGCAGCAGUAGGGAAUCUUCCGCAAUGGGCGAAAGCCUGACGGAGCAACGCCGCGUGAGUGAAGAAGGUCUUCGGAUCGUAAAACUCUGUUAUUAGGGAAGAACAAAUGUGUAAGUAACUAUGCACGUCUUGACGGUACCUAAUCAGAAAGCCACGGUUAACUACGUG
Molecule: ribosomal RNA, 497 nt
Filed under: uncultured bacterium
Lineage: Bacteria
Description: partial 16S ribosomal RNA
Rfam family: Bacterial small subunit ribosomal RNA
Source: RNAcentral